ACUGACGCAGCGACGCCGCGUGGGUGACGAAGGCCUUCGGGUUGUAAAGCCCUGUGGGGCGAGACGAACAGCUUCUGGUCGAACAGGCCAGGGGUUUGACGGUAUCGCCUUAGCAAGCACCGGCUAACUCUGUGCCAGCAGCCGCGGUAAUACAGAGGGUGCAAACGUUGCUCGGAAUUACUGGGCGUAAAGCGCGUGUAGGCGGUUUUAUAAGUCCGACGUGAAAAGCCCGGGGCUCAACCCCGGAAGUGCGCUGGAUACUGUGAAGCUGGAGUCCUGAAGAGGAGAGCGGAAUUCCCGGUGUAGAGGUGAAAUUCGUAGAUAUCGGGAGGAACACCUGUGGCGAAAGGCGGCUCUCUGGGCAGGUACUGACGCUGAGACGCGAAAGCGUGGGGAGCAAACAGGAUUAGAUACCCUGGUAGUCCACGCUGUAAACGAUGAGAACUAGCCGUUGUGGGUAUUGACCCCCGCAGUGGCGAAGCCAACGCGUUAAGUUCUCCGCCUGGGAAGUACGGCCGCAAGGCUAAAACUCAAAGGAAUUGACGGGGGCCC
Molecule: ribosomal RNA, 552 nt
Filed under: uncultured bacterium
Lineage: Bacteria
Description: bacterial SSU rRNA
Rfam family: Bacterial small subunit ribosomal RNA
Source: RNAcentral